AUUGAACGCUGGCGGCAGGCCUAACACAUGCAAGUCGAGCGGAUGAAGGGAGUUUGCUCCUGGAUUCAGCGGCGGACGGGUGAGUAAUGCCUAGGAAUCUGCCUGGUAGUGGGGGAUAACGUCCGGAGACGGGCGCUAAUACCGCAUACGUCCUGAGGGAGAAAGUGGGGGAUCUUCGGACCUCACGCUAUCAGAUGAGCCUAGGUCGGAUUAGCUAGUUGGUGGGGUAAAGGCCUACCAAGGCGACGAUCCGUAACUGGUCUGAGAGGAUGAUCAGUCACACUGGAACUGAGACACGGUCCAGACUCCUACGGGAGGCAGCAGUGGGGAAUAUUGGACAAUGGGCGAAAGCCUGAUCCAGCCAUGCCGCGUGUGUGAAGAAGGUCUUCGGAUUGUAAAGCACUUUAAGUUGGGAGGAAGGGCAGUAAGUUAAUACCUUGCUGUUUUGACGUGACCAACAGAAUAAGCACCGGCUAACUUCGU
This 483-nucleotide ribosomal RNA is filed under the name uncultured bacterium. RNAcentral's name for it is "partial 16S ribosomal RNA". It matches the Rfam family "Bacterial small subunit ribosomal RNA", at positions 30 to 506 of the family's 1533-position model. The record is from RNAcentral.